GCCAGGUAUGGUGAUGCACACCUGUAGUCCUAGCUACUUGGGAGGCUGAAGCAGGAGAAUUACUUGAGCCCAGGAAUUUGAGACUGCAGUGUGCUAUGAUUGCUUCUGUGAAUAGCCACUGUACUCCAGCCUGGGCAACAUAGUAAGACCCCAUCUCAA
Unclassified non-coding RNA from Macaca fascicularis (crab-eating macaque), 159 nucleotides. It matches the Rfam family "Metazoan signal recognition particle RNA". From Rfam's summary of the family: The signal recognition particle (SRP) is a universally conserved ribonucleoprotein. It is involved in the co-translational targeting of proteins to membranes. The record is from Ensembl. NCBI's taxonomy places the organism in Eukaryota, Metazoa, Chordata, Mammalia, Primates, Cercopithecidae.